This 468-nucleotide ribosomal RNA is filed under the name uncultured bacterium. RNAcentral's name for it is "partial 16S ribosomal RNA". It matches the Rfam family "Bacterial small subunit ribosomal RNA", at positions 28 to 507 of the family's 1533-position model. The record is from RNAcentral.
GACGAACGCUGGCGGCGUGCUUAACACAUGCAAGUCGAACGGAAAGGCCCUGCUUUUGUGGGGUGCUCGAGUGGCGAACGGGUGAGUAACACGGGAGUAACCUGCCCUUGACUUUGGGAUAACUUCAGGAAACUGGGGCUAAUACCGGAUAGGAGCUCCUGCUGCAUGGUGGGGGUUGGAAAGUUUCGGCGGUUGGGGAUGGACUCGCGGCUUAUCAGCUUGUUGGUGGGGUAGUGGCUUACCAAGGCUUUGCCGGGUAGCCGGCCUGGGAGGGUGACCGGCCACCUUGGGACUGAGGUAGGGCCCAGGCUCCUACGGGAGGCAGCAGUGGGGAAUAUUGCACAAUGGGCGGAAGCCGGAGGCAGCAACGCCGCGUGCGGGAUGACGGCCUUCGGGUUGUAAACCGCUUUCGCCUGUGACGAAGCGUGAGUGACGGUAAUGGGUAAAGAAGCACCGGCUAACUACGUG